RNAcentral lists this ribosomal RNA (621 nucleotides) under uncultured Thermoprotei archaeon. Its description in RNAcentral is "bacterial SSU rRNA". It matches the Rfam family "Archaeal small subunit ribosomal RNA", at positions 1 to 599 of the family's 1478-position model. The record is from RNAcentral. Lineage: Archaea; Thermoproteati; Thermoproteota; Thermoprotei.
UCCGGUUGAUCCUGCCGGACCCCACUGCUAUCGGGAUAGGACUAAGACAUGCUAGUCGAGCGCCUCCCAGCCACGACGGAGGCGCGGCGCACAGCUCAGUAACACGUGGCUAACCUGCCCUUGGGACAGAGACACCCCCGGGAAACUGGGGCUAAUCCCUGAUAGGUGAAGAACUCUGGAAUGAGUCUUCACCCAAAAGACGCCUAGGCCACGCUUCUAGGCGCCGCCCAAGGAUGGGGCCGCGACCGAUCAGGUUGUUGGUGAGGUAACGGCCUACCAAGCCUUUUACCGGUACGGGCCGUGAGAGCGGGAGCCCGGAGAUGGGCACUGAGACAAGGGCCCAGGUCCUACGGGGCGCAGCAGUCGCGCAGACUUUGCAAUACACGAAAGUGUGACAGGGCUAUCCCGAGUGCCGUCCGCUGAGGGUGGCUUUUACCCAGUCUAGAAAGCUGGGAGAACAAGGAGAGGGCAAGUCUGGUGUCAGCCGCCGCGGUAAUACCAGCUCUCCGAGUGGUGUGGAUGUUUAUUGGGCCUAAAGCAUCCGUAGCUUGCUGAUCAAGUCCCCUGUUAAACCCAACGAAUCAAUCGUUGGAUUGCGGGGGAUACUGCUCGGCUAGGGGA